Chelonia mydas (Green sea turtle) is the source of this 46-nucleotide non-coding RNA. NCBI's taxonomy places the organism in Eukaryota, Metazoa, Chordata, Testudines, Cheloniidae. The record is from Rfam.
CUACAGGACUCUCUAGAGUCCCCCAUCAUAGUCAAAACUACAUAUU